Theobroma cacao (cacao) is the source of this 2790-nucleotide RNA transcript. It is a transcript of the gene named P-loop containing nucleoside triphosphate hydrolases superfamily protein, with no coding region annotated. Lineage: Eukaryota; Viridiplantae; Streptophyta; Magnoliopsida; Malvales; Malvaceae. The record is from RefSeq and is a predicted model, not a curated record.
UAAAAAAGAAAAAUACAAAAACAAAAUAAUAGCUUCUUCCCCAUCCCUUUUCCCUCUGUUGUUUCUCCUUCAACCCUAAUUACAAAACCCCAAAAUUUCUUGCUCUUUCUCAGAGAAAUCCUCGGAAAAUCUUGUCCAAUUUAUGGAUCAGUACUAUCAUCAUCAGCCUCAUAAUCAAUGGGGGCAACCACCACUACCACCGCCCCCGCAGCAACCCAGCAUAUGCCCAGUUUGCUCAAUUCCUCACCUGCCAUUUUGCCCUCCCUACGCUCCUUACAAUCACCAAAACCCUAAUUACCCUCCUCAACCUCCCCAUUAUGCCCGACCCGGAUUUGACCCCUACCAACCUCCCCUACCACCUACGCCACCUCCUCCUCCUCCCGCGGUCCCAACUCAUACUCCCCCUUACAUCGACGGGUUCUCCGAUCCUAGAUCCUGGCAUCGAAACCCUAAUUACGGCUACGAUUAUGGUGCGGCUGGUGGUGGUGGUGAAGUUGAUCGGAGCUACAAGAGGCCGAGAGUUGACGAGUUUGGUUCGGGUCCGGGUUCAGGUUGGACUUUGUCAGAGGAUGAGAGAAGAUUGAAGUUGAUUCGUGAUCAUGGUGGUGCUUCUUUGAGUGGAUGUAACCAAGAAAAUAUAUAUUUCCAAAAUAAUAUUAAUAACAAUAACAAGGCCACCCCAAUGCCGCCAAGGCUUACAGAGAUGUAUAACAUUGAAGAUUCACUAAACAAUGAUAAUGAUUAUAGUAAUAAUUAUGAUUACAAUCAGCAGCAGAUUCAACAUAAAGAUUUAGUGCCUGCGGCGGUGAAUAAUUGGCAAGGUUAUGAAGAGAGAAUUGGCGGUUAUUUGUCACAACCUGGUGGCAGUAACAUGGCUCAGCCGCCUCCUCCUCCUCUUCCAGCUUCUCCGCCGCCACCUCUGCCUGUAGAGCCUCCAAUGCAGAAUCACUCUUCUUCGGAGUUUAAGGCUUUUUCUUUAUCACCCAAUUCAUCAUUUUCUUUAUUUCCUAUACCUGUUAGUUCUUCAGUCACAGCGCAUUCCACUUAUCCAGUGGUUCCUGAGCCUUAUUAUCAGAGCAAGCCACGGCAUGCUUCUGGUGGAUUCAAUGGGGAGGAUCCUCAAGUUAUCCAUAGGACUGUGCAAUACGUGGGCAUUCCUCCAAAGCCAUUGUGUUCUGAUAAGCCUAAAUUUGUUAAUGCUUCUGAGUUGUUUAAGAUGCCUCAUAGAGCUUCUCGGCCUGAUCAUAUUGUGAUAAUUCUUCGAGGGCUUCCAGGUAGUGGAAAGAGCUACUUAGCAAAGAUGUUGCGAGAUCUUGAGGUUCAAAAUGGUGGUGAUGCCCCUCGAAUCCACUCGAUGGAUGAUUAUUUUAUGACUGAAGUUGAAAAGGAUGAGGAGACUGAUUCAAAAUCAUCAAGUUCAGCUCGAAGCAAGAAAGCAAUGAAGAAAACGGUGAUGGAGUACUGUUAUGAACCUGAAAUGGAGGGGGCCUAUAGAGAAAGCAUGUUGAAAGCAUUCAAGAGGACCCUUGAAGAUGGGAUCUUCAGUUUUGUAAUUGUGGAUGACCGCAAUCUGCGGGUAGCUGAUUUUGCUCAGUUUUGGGCAAUUGGAAAGAGAUCAGGUUAUGAAGUUUACGUAUUGGAAGCUACAUAUAAGGAUCCAGUGGGCUGUGCAGCUAGGAAUGUUCAUGGUUUUACCCUAGAUGAUAUCCAACAGAUGGCAGGACAAUGGGAAGAAGCUCCAUCAUUAUACUUGCACCUGGACAUCAAGUCAUUGUUCCAUGGAGAUGACCUGAAGGAAUGUGGUAUUCAGGAGGUUGACAUGGACGUGGAAGAUGGAGAUCGUGAAGAAGGAUUAUCAGGACAGCAAGAACAAAAGCCUGAGAAAACGAAAUCACUUGCUGUUGGAGAUCAUGUACUUGGAGGAUUUCAAGAUUUAGAUUCUUCAAAGGAUGACAAUAGGAGGGAUGCUGAGGGGGACCAUCCUGUGGAGGUGAAAGAAUUAAGUCGGAGUAAAUGGUCAAACGAUUUGGACGAAGAUGAAAUUGAAGGACCAGAAGCUAUUAAGGGAAACUUGAAUGCUUUUUCUGGGUUGAUCCAAGCAUACAAGAAGAAGGGAAAAUCUGUGCAUUGGAGUGACCAGUUAUUUUUCAGGGCGGUGACACUGGAUUCUCAAUAGGUGCAGCAAAGAAGGCCAAAAUGUUGUCUCUAGUGAUUGGACCAGGAGCUGGUUACAAUUUGAAGUCUAACCCAUUACCUAUGGAGGAGAGCCAUACAUCCAACAGCAGUGGCACUUUGAAGAAGCAGAGUUCAUUCCAAGAGCGACUUCGUGCAGAGCAGGACUCCUUUAAAGCUAUUUUUGAUAGGAGGAAGAGAAUCGGCAGGCUUGAUCUUGACGAGGAUUAGUAUAAUUAAAAAUCCGGGGGAAGUUUUGCCUUUGUAGAGAUGUUUAGCAUGACUGCUUUCUCUGGCCGCGCGCCCACCACCCCCCAUUCCCCACGUUUUUUGGGUAUUUUAUGGGGGGACUUGCGGGAUGUUUGUAGAUUAGUAUGGAAAAAGAGAGGUGGUUCGGUCAAACUGUAGCUGUAAUACAGAAUGAGAAUUCAAUCUCCAUGGUAGGAAAAGAAAGUUUUUCUACCACCAUUAUCAAAUUCAUAGUUGUAAUCGUUUUCUUGGCAUCUCAAUGCCUGUGUGAUGCAUUCCAUGACGUGCCAGAAGUUAUCCAUAUUACUAAAAUUCACUAAAUAAAAUUUUCUGAUCUGGUCUGCGACCCAGGCAUUAGAUUAAUACUUA